Molecule: ribosomal RNA, 669 nt
Filed under: Debaryomyces hansenii
Lineage: Eukaryota; Fungi; Ascomycota; Pichiomycetes; Serinales; Debaryomycetaceae
Description: LSU rRNA
Rfam family: Eukaryotic large subunit ribosomal RNA (bases 1-582)
Source: RNAcentral
CUAGCCGGUAUUGCUUAGAUACGGCGAGUGAGCGGCAAAAGCUCAAAUUUGAAAUCUGGCACCUUCGGUGUCCGAGUUGUAAUUUGAAGAAGGUAACUUUGGAGUUGGCUCUUGUCUAUGUUCCUUGGAACAGGACGUCACAGAGGGUGAGAAUCCCGUGCGAUGAGAUGCCCAAUUCUAUGUAAAGUGCUUUCGAAGAGUCGAGUUGUUUGGGAAUGCAGCUCUAAGUGGGUGGUAAAUUCCAUCUAAAGCUAAAUAUUGGCGAGAGACCGAUAGCGAACAAGUACAGUGAUGGAAAGAUGAAAAGAACUUUGAAAAGAGAGUGAAAAAGUACGUGAAAUUGUUGAAAGGGAAGGGCUUGAGAUCAGACUUGGUAUUUUGCGAUCCUUUCCUUCUUGGUUGGGUUCCUCGCAGCUUACUGGGCCAGCAUCGGUUUGGAUGGUAGGAUAAUGACUAAGGAAUGUGGCUCUACUUCGGUGGAGUGUUAUAGCCUUGGUUGAUACUGCCUGUCUAGACCGAGGACUGCGUCUUUUGACUAGGAUGUUGGCCUAAUGAUCUUAAUCCACACGCCUUGAUAAAAGGACCAAGUCAAAGUUCAGUCUUUUUAAUUUUACCGUUAUGCCCUCACUUUUUUUCCCUUUACGAACCCCUUUUCCUAACUUCUACGCU